RNAcentral lists this ribosomal RNA (386 nucleotides) under uncultured delta proteobacterium. RNAcentral describes it as "bacterial SSU rRNA". It matches the Rfam family "Bacterial small subunit ribosomal RNA", at positions 997 to 1382 of the family's 1533-position model. The record is from RNAcentral. Lineage: Bacteria; Deltaproteobacteria.
GUCCUAGAGAUAGGAUUUUCCCUUCGGGGACCGCUGGUUCAGGUGCUGCAUGGCUGUCGUCAGCUCGUGCCGUGAGGUGUUGGGUUAACGUCCCGCAACGAGCGCAACCCUCGUACUUAGUUGCCACCAUUCAGUUGGGCACUCUAGGUAGACUGCCGGCGUUAAGCCGGAGGAAGGUGGGGACGACGUCAAGUCAUCAUGGCCCUUAUGCCCAGGGCCACACACGUGCUACAAUGGGCGGCACAAAGGGUCGCGAACCCGCGAGGGGGAGCCAAUCCCAAAAAGCCGUUCUCAGUUCGGAUUGGAGUCUGCAACUCGACUCCAUGAAGUUGGAAUCGCUAGUAAUCGCGGAUCAGCACGCCGCGGUGAAUACGUUCCCGGGCCUU